This is a long non-coding RNA of Limulus polyphemus (Atlantic horseshoe crab), 1466 nucleotides long. RefSeq lists it as uncharacterized. The record is from RefSeq and is a predicted model, not a curated record. Lineage: Eukaryota; Metazoa; Arthropoda; Merostomata; Xiphosura; Limulidae. The transcript is spliced from 4 exons.
UAAACUAAUGAAACCUGGUGAGAUAAUUGGAGUAGACAUUACGGGACCUUAACCUAAAUCUAGUAAAGAUGAACGAGCAGAAUUACAAGAUGUCAUACAAAAGGCAAAAUCCAACGUUGAAAAGGCUCAGAAGCGAAAGCAGCAAGCCCUACAACCAUAAGAGAUUCUCAGACGCAUGUAAACGAAAAUUCUCUCGACACUGAAAAAAAUGGUGAUCAUCCUAAGCAGUUGCAGUAAGUGAAAAUGUCGACUACAGAAAACUUGGAGGUCAUUCACCCACAAGAUAAACGACUUCUGCUGGUGUGUCCACUUCUCAUCCUUCAACAGAACCUGCUGAUGACUUACUUGUGUGUCCUCCUCAAAGGACAUUGCAGCCAUAUGGCAGAGUUGAUUAUCGUAGUUAGCUGGUCUUCGAAUUGUGAAACUUCCGUUUAUCUAUGAAUUCCAUCAAGGUAGCAUUGCGUGACUAUACAACCUCCACAGAAGAAACUCCAUAGUUAAGCAGGUGCUAAGAGGUGACAAAUUGUGUUCUAAAAAGAAUGAAUGAUGUGAUUUACAAAAUCCAGAAGAAUAGUUGGACCAAGUCCAGAGGUUAAUCUCUGUGAUUGUCUUUAGAAGUACAGCGAGCUGAACAGGACUAGAAAAGAAUUUGCCAGUGGAAAGUCGGCCUGCUGAAGAGCCUAGGGUACUUGUUGAGACUACCUCCAGAGGAUCACCAAGGAUAGAGCCACUAGUACAUUCGUUAAAACACUAACUUGGGGAAAACUACCCCAAUGACAGGACAUCAAGUUGCAAUAAGGGACAAUAGGUCAUUCCAUUUGUAUACCAUAACCCUUGGAAACAAAAACCACCAUAAAGACUUGGUGAAUAUACAGUUUAGUGUACUGUUUUUCUUUAUACGGUAAAGAGAUUUCACAAUCCAAGGAAAAGGCCGUGUUUUAAACUAUAUUUAAUUAUCUAGAUAUAAGGACAAAUUAUAAAUAAUAGAUGCAGUGAGGUAAUGAGCAGUAUUGAGUAGAGAGAAGUCAAUGAAGUAUUUAGUAAAUAAUCAGGAGUGACUAAGUUCAGAAUUAGUAGUGAAAGUUAUUGUGUCUAUUCAGUUACUCAAUCCCAUUAGUUCUAUAAGUAAGAUAAGUGUAUCUGCAAUUAAUGUCGGAAUUUCUGUUGAAACGUUGUUUGUGAACUUAAGCCUACAUGAGACUGUGGUUAUAGCAAACUUUAUUGUAGAAAUAAAUUAAUACACUAUCGUUACGUGGGCAGGACUUGGCAUUCUUUCUAUCAAUUGAUCCCAAAUAACACGAACGAUAGAAUUUGGAGAUGGAUGUGACUGAGGUGUCCGGUUUUUCUAAAGAUGUGCUAACAGCUCUAAAAGUCUAACUUAUUUCAAAGAUCAGGGGAAAUCAAAUUGUGUCAGUGGUACGUUUAAGGAACUGCAAAGCUGGAAUCCGUGAUUCGAUUCCGUAUGG